GCGUGAGCGAUGAAGGCCUUAGGGUUGUAAAGCUCUUUCACCGGUGACGAUAAUGACGGUAGCCGGAGAAGAAGCCCCGGCUAACUCCGUGCCAGCAGCCGCGGUAAUACGGAGGGGGCUAGCGUUGUUCGGAAUUACUGGGCGUAAAGCGCACGUAGGCGGGUAUUCAAGUCGGGGGUGAAAUCCCGGGGCUCAACCCCGGAAUGGCCUUCGAUACUGGAUGUCUUGAGGUCUGGAGAGGUGAGUGGAAUUCCGAGUGUAGAGGUGAAAUUCGU
This 275-nucleotide ribosomal RNA is filed under the name uncultured bacterium. Its description in RNAcentral is "partial 16S ribosomal RNA". It matches the Rfam family "Bacterial small subunit ribosomal RNA", at positions 399 to 691 of the family's 1533-position model. The record is from RNAcentral.